This 256-nucleotide ribosomal RNA is filed under the name uncultured bacterium. RNAcentral's name for it is "partial 16S ribosomal RNA". It matches the Rfam family "Bacterial small subunit ribosomal RNA", at positions 521 to 776 of the family's 1533-position model. The record is from RNAcentral.
UAAUACGUAGGGGGCGAGCGUUAUUCGGAAUUACUGGGUGUAAAGGGUAUGUAGGCGGUCUCGCGAGUCGCACGUCAAAGUCCAGCGCUCAACGCUGGGUUCGCGCGCGAUACUGUGGGACUAGAGGGCUGGAGAGGUGAGCGGAAUUCCCGGUGUAGUGGUAAAAUACGUAGAUAUCGGGAGGAACACCAGCGGCGUAGGCGGCUCACUAGACAGUUUCUGACGCUAAGAUACGAAAGCGUGGGGAGCAAACAGG